This 72-nucleotide transfer RNA is filed under the name Fukomys damarensis (Damara mole-rat). It matches the Rfam family "tRNA". From Rfam's summary of the family: Transfer RNA (tRNA) molecules are approximately 80 nucleotides in length. Lineage: Eukaryota; Metazoa; Chordata; Mammalia; Rodentia; Bathyergidae. The record is from Rfam by way of RNAcentral.
GGGGGUGUAGCUCAGUGGUAGAGUGCUUGCCUAGCAUGCACAAAGCCCUGGGUUUGAUUCCCAGCACUACCA